ACGGGAGGCAGCAGUGGGGAAUAUUGGACAAUGGGGGAAACCCUGAUCCAGCGACGCCGCGUGAGUGAAGAAGUAUUUCGGUAUGUAAAGCUCUAUCAGCAAGGAAGAAAAUGACGGUACUUGACUAAGAAGCCCCGGCUAACUACGUGCCAGCAGCCGCGGUAAUACGUAGGGGGCAAGCGUUAUCCGGAUUUACUGGGUGUAAAGGGAGCGUAGACGGUAUGGCAAGUCUGAAGUGAAAUGCAUGGGCUCAACCCAUGAACUGCUUUGGAAACUGUCAAACUAGAGUGCAGGAGAGGUAAGUGGAAUUCCUAGUGUAGCGGUGAAAUGCGUAGAUAUAAGGAAGAACACCAGUGGCGAAGGCGGUCUACUGGACAGUAACUGACGCUGAGGCGCGAAAGCGUGGGGAGCAAACAGGAUUAGAUACCCUGGUA
This 434-nucleotide ribosomal RNA is filed under the name uncultured Lachnospiraceae bacterium. RNAcentral describes it as "bacterial SSU rRNA". It matches the Rfam family "Bacterial small subunit ribosomal RNA", at positions 341 to 792 of the family's 1533-position model. The record is from RNAcentral. Lineage: Bacteria; Bacillati; Bacillota; Clostridia; Lachnospirales; Lachnospiraceae.